Molecule: long non-coding RNA, 411 nt
Filed under: Homo sapiens (human)
Lineage: Eukaryota; Metazoa; Chordata; Mammalia; Primates; Hominidae
Description: novel transcript
Source: RNAcentral
ACUUUGGUGGGAGCUUUGGUUCGGCUGGGACCUGCGCCCUGAAUGAAGGCUUCCCUGGUACCCCCUGCCGAUCCGCGGUCUUGGGGACCUGCGCGUCCGAUAGCGCGUGCUCGAAGAGGAGAGGCAACCUCAGCUCCAGGGGGUUUGAACCGACCCACUUUCAGUUACGAGUAAACUGAGACCAGAGAGCAGAGGGGGCUUAUUUCCCUCUGCCCCAUACUGGCCGGCGAAAGGGCAAGUCACACAGAGCAGGCGACCUUUUUGUCAAAAGUGUGUGGGGCGGGGCGCGCAGUAGGCGCCCUAAACGCUGGACUGAACAGAGAAGCUUAAUUGAUACUUAAGAGUGGAAGCUUAGCUACAGUUAAGGACUCCUUCCUCCUUUCAUUCAUUUAAUAAAGAUUUAUUGAUUCA